This is a long non-coding RNA of Brassica oleracea var. oleracea, 1912 nucleotides long. RefSeq lists it as uncharacterized. The transcript has 6 exons. NCBI's taxonomy places the organism in Eukaryota, Viridiplantae, Streptophyta, Magnoliopsida, Brassicales, Brassicaceae. The record is from RefSeq and is a predicted model, not a curated record.
CUGAUGUUGGGCUUCUAAAAGUAAGUUUUUGAGCCAGUAGAUGGCUCUAUCGUCGUCCCUUGGCUUACCCUAUCAACCACAUACUCCAUGAAUUCGCCGAUGUAACGUUUCCUCUGAUCAUUCAAACUUUGCAAUUAAGCUUGCUAUUUAUGAACCCUAAACCUCUACUUCCCACUACAUGCCAUUAAUUUCUCUAAUCCCUGCUCUUUUGCCAUUAUCUAAUCUUCUCCUAUAAUCACGCAUGCGAGCAUCCAGAAAUCUCAUCACUCAAACCUCUUUCUUACUAUUUCUCUCCUACAAACACAGAACCGGCGAUUAAAAGUUCAACAGCAUGUCCCUUUAACUUUUCACUGUCUAAAUUCCCAUCAUACAUCUUCACUCCUUUGCUGGGCCACUUGUCUGACUGUGUUUGACGGGCUCGCCAUGAUUCGUCACCAGAAAAUAGAGAGGUCGGGGGUGGAGUCUAGGAUCAUCAUCGCCACAAACAUCAAGCCCAAAUUCGUAAGAGGUUGCAUAUUCCUUAAAGGCAACAUAUACGACACACUUCUAUCUCCGCUGUCUCAUGGUAUGUGUUUGUUCUCAACGGUUGAGGGAUUUGUAACUUAAAUUUAAACCGUCUGAAAAUAAAAUUCAUAGAAGAUGAGAAAGAGGUCGGAUCAGAGGUCGAGGAGAGGUUUGCUUGGAUCUUUUCUGCAUCCACAUCGAGCUUUACCAACAUAAUGGGAUGGACAAGGUUUGGUUCCAAGGAUGAUUAAAUUGUGUUUAUUAUUUUGUGAUUUAACAUGAAGUCUGUGAGUAAUCUAUUGAAAGCCAGAAAGCUGCAGCGUUACAAAGUUUUUCUAUACAUAUACUAGAAUAAGGGUGGAUACGAGGAAUAAGAAUAGAGAAUAUUAGUAGAGUUACUGCUUCGAAAUGACCAAAACAGAGACUUAAGACAUGUAUGUGUGCCAUCAGGAUGCCUUGAUUGUGUUAUGACCCAUAUGUUUUCAUUUGAUGAGGGCUUUGCUAUCUUGAUGAAUGGAAUGUGGAGAGAGAGAGAUGGAGGAGGGUAAUCUUACAUUUCUCUAUUUCCAAAAUGAGAAGUGGUUUGUAUUAUGGGUGAAAAUGAUUUCUUCUCUUCAGCCAAUCCAAUGCUUUUUAAAAUUUUAGAACUGCCGAGGUGUGAGGGUAGAGUAGAGAGCACAGCUCUUGGCUGAAGGUGCAGCUGAUGAGUUAAUUUGCUUUAGCUGGUAGUAUGAUUAUGUCAUGUUCAAUUCGUAACAUCCAUGUGUUUGUGGAAUACAAGUGUUACUUCUAAAAUUUGAUUUUGUAGGCUUCUAACUUAUUAUCUUAUCAGCAAAUUCCAGUUUCUAGCCAAUUAGAUGGUCCCUCAGUGUUCAAUCCCAGUAAAAGCCAAGGCUUUGAUGACUGGGGCUUAGAACAAGCAGCCUAACUGUUGUCGUGUGCUGGCGGAAAACUUUGCAGUCAAGAAGGAAAGGAUGAAUGCAGUUUCAAAGAUCAGAUUUGUUGGAGACAUUGUUGACACAGAUUCCAAUUGCUUAACAGUUCAUGAAACCAAACUUAAGGUCAGACACUUAUGGUUUAGCCUGUGUUGAAAAGCAUAAAUUUGUGUUUUAUGAUAUGCUUGAUGGGGAAGUAUCAAAAGAUGAGGUUUCAAGGGAUAUCCUAAGGUUAAUGCACUACACAUAUAGAAACCAAGGGUUUCAGUUGUUUCUCAGCUUCUUUGAAAUCCACGGAGGAAAGCGUUAUGAUCUCCUCAAAGAGAGGAAAUCAGUUGAGAAGCACGUUGUUAUCUUAUUUUGGCUGCUUUGCACAUAAAAACAAUUAUAGUAUUUGCCUGGGCGUGCUUGAUGUGUAGAUAUUACAUUUUUUUUUGAAACACUGAUAUUACAAUUCAUAUGUAAAAAAUUAG